AGUUGCUGUUGCCGUGGGAAUAAAACAUGGCGGUAAAUGCUGCUGCCAUUAAAAGUUCAGAAAUACAUCCUUCUGACCAACCUCUGUUGAGACAUACGAUGCAGUUCCUCAGUAGCUUUUUAGGACAAUAAAUCACAUUAUAUGUGAGUGGCCAUUCAAAGGUGUAUUGUGGGAAUUAAAAUCAAUGCAUUAAUGCGAUGAAUUAUAUGUUCAUUGCAUGCUUAAGCAAACUUACCCCCCUUAAGUUUGGUGUCAGUGUGGCUCAACAUAGACAUAUAAGGUAAAUACACAGACUAAUCUGCAUAAAGUGUGUUACCUACAAGAGAUGCCGGUCCCUUGGCUCUGUAAUUGAGGAAUGGACCGGAACCCUGACUAUAAAUCUUACAGAUGAGGCUGUUUGAACCCUACACUUUAGUUAAUGUUAAUAAAUUCUGGCGCAGUCCCUAAGGUCAGUGUAAUUGCUCUGCAUAAAUGGGCAAGAGGCUAAAAGUCAGCUGCUGGAGUUGAAAGGAGGAAGAGUUUGCAGGGAAAUGAUUCAAACUAAUGAGCUUGGAUGUCAAGACCUUACUGAUUCAGGGAUCAGCCCUAGUUGUUCUUGAAAUAGAUACUCUGACUUUAUUAUUAGGUUUAAGGCUGAAAAGAAAUCUGUAAAAAAUGACUUAGGUAGAAGACAUUAUGACUAGUGUUGAUUUUGUUUCGGUGUAGAGUGAGUUCAUCAAGAACAGUCAUCAAGGCAACAUAGUUCAUACAAUAUACACAACACUGCACAGCAGUUAACACAGAUGGGUCACUUUGUUUAACUGGGUGUUUUUAAUAUCACAUUCACAGGUAAAAGCAGAAAAGAAACUUUAUUUUUAACACUGACACUUGUUGGAUGUCACUCUGAUUCUAUCUUUUGGUCAACAUGCCAUUUUGUUAUACCAAACAAGGAAAGUUUGUGAGGAAUUACCCUGCUCAUAUCAAAAGUCAUCUGACCCUUGCUAUUCUUCUAAUUUUGAUCGUGAAUAACAAACAAUAACCCAGUUUUAAUGAAUGGCUGGCUUUAAUUCUUGUAUUAUGGCUGCCCACCCUUUAUUUUUGGAGGGUUAUUUGUUAUCAGAGCGAGGUUAUCUAUCUUGCUUUGUCAGGGUUGUUGGCAAAAGGAAGCUACUGUAUUUUAUAUAGUACGAUUAUAGCCUGUGGUCAUUAAUGACCUUAACACUGAUGACCUGUGCAGCUUGUGACACAUUAAUAAUAAUUUUCUUGGACUUGUUGAACGGUCAGUCUGACACAGAUAGCUGCUCAGCACUGUUUUUAUCUCCUUGAAACAACCUAAAGUAAACUUUGUAACCCAGCAACACUCCAAAUAGUACUCAAUUGAUAAAGAGGAAAUGACAAUGAGAUAUUUAGGUGAAACUCUCUAUUUUUAUUCGUUUAAAACCCAAUGACUGUAAAAAAAAACAUGGGUGUAGUCUCAGUAACGAGCCUCAUGGAGCCAAAACAUGUUGGUUGCCAUACUUGUAAUCCUGACACCAACUAACAUCUGACUACUUAAAAAAAACUCAGGCGUGGCAUUGGAUUGGGCCUUUAUCCCACUGACAACCAACUACAACACAACCACUUGUCAGUCAGAUUAGCCACGAUCGAUCGAUUUUUCCAAACUUUUUAAUACAUCUUAAAGAAAACUGAGAAACAAUGAGUGACUGAGACUUGGACGAUGUUUGUUAGGCUGUAGACAUGUUUCAUUGUAACUUG
This is a non-coding RNA of Xyrichtys novacula (pearly razorfish), 1734 nucleotides long. NCBI's taxonomy places the organism in Eukaryota, Metazoa, Chordata, Actinopteri, Labriformes, Labridae. The record is from the annotation of a GenBank genome assembly.